RNAcentral lists this ribosomal RNA (468 nucleotides) under uncultured bacterium. Its description in RNAcentral is "partial 16S ribosomal RNA". It matches the Rfam family "Bacterial small subunit ribosomal RNA", at positions 28 to 507 of the family's 1533-position model. The record is from RNAcentral.
GACGAACGCUGGCGGCGUGCUUAACACAUGCAAGUCGAACGGAGAGAGCAGAGCUUGCUCUUCUGCACGAGUGGCGAACGGGUGAGUAACACGUGAGUAACCUGCCCUAGACUUUGGGAUAACUGCUGGAAACUGGGGCUAAUACCGGAUAGGAGCUCCUGCUGCAUGGCUAGUGUUUGAAAGGUUCGUCGGUCGGGGAUGGACUCGCGGCCUAUCAGCUUGUUGGUGAGGUAGCGGCUCACCAAGGCAACGACGGGUAGCCGGCCUGAGAGGGCGACCGGCCACACUGGGACUGAGACACGGCCCAGACUCCUACGGGGGGCAGCAGUGGGGAAUAUUGCACAAUGGGCGGAAGCCUGAUGCAGCGACGCCGCGUGAGGGAUGACGGCCUUCGGGUUGUAAACCUCUUUCAGCAGGGAAGAAGCGAAAGUGACGGUACCUGCAGAAGAAGCACCGGCUAACUACGUG